AUUAAUGGCCGAUAGGAAGUGAACAGACUCUGCAAUGCAGCUGCUGGGCUUUGUCCCUGUUCUGUAUGGAAGCGAAGCACGCAAAAUCCGGACAGGAGGUUGCACUUCAGGGGAUUGCCUGUAUGAUGUCACACCCCCGUGUCAUCCUUGUCCUCUGUCCCUGGCUGCGGCUGAGGCAGGCCCAGGUGUCGCGUGCUGUUUGUAGUUACAGCAGCCAGAUGGUAGCGCAUCUGUGGAGGCGGUGAAGCGAUGGCCGUCGGCUCCAGGAAGCCGAUGAGGGAUGUGUGGGAUUGGGAGAUUAGGCGUGCUCCUCCCUCACCAUGGAACAUUCUCCAAAGGGGACUCAAACCUGAUCAUCUCUCCACUUUGGAGGGACUUAAAAAGCCUGUAUUAUAAGUCUGUGGUUUAUUGUUAAUGUGUUUUGUGUUAGAGAUCAUAUUAUUCCUGAGACUUUGGUGCACAUUUACAGUGGAAAUGAAAAUG
Long non-coding RNA from Anguilla rostrata (American eel), 483 nucleotides. RefSeq lists it as uncharacterized. The record is from RefSeq and is a predicted model, not a curated record. Lineage: Eukaryota; Metazoa; Chordata; Actinopteri; Anguilliformes; Anguillidae. The transcript has 3 exons.